CUGUUUACCAAAAACAUCGCCCUCCGCAAAUAUUAACAUGGAGGGUCCUGCCUGCCCAGUGACUAAAGGUUUAACGGCCGCGGUAUCUUGACCGUGCGAAGGUAGCAUAAUCAUUUGUCUCCUAAAUAGAGACUGGUAUGAAUGGCAAGACGGAGCUUUACUGUCUCCUUUUCUCCUAUUUUAAUUUCACUUUCCCGUGAAGAGGCGGGAAUAUAUUCGUUAGACGAGAAGACCCUGUCGAGCUAUAGUAAAGUAUUUGACUUUUACCCUUAUUUUAUUCUUCUAAUAUAUUAUUUUAGAGAAUAAUAAAAUUAAAAGGUCUAUUCUAACUUUGGUUGGGGCAACCACGGAGAAAAAAAUCCUCCGUUAUUAAUUUAUUUAAAUAAAGAGAAACUACUCUAAAAUUAUAAACUAAAAAUAUGAUCCACUCCGGUGAUCAAAGGAAAAGUUACCGCAGGGAUAACAGCGUUAUCUUUUCUGAGAGUUCAUAUUGACGAAAAGGUUUGCGACCUCGAUGUUGGAUCGGGACAUCCUAAAGGUGCAGAAGCUUUUAAGGGUUGGUCUGUUCGACCAUUAAAGUCCUACGUGAUCUGAGUUCAGACCGGCGAAAGCCAGGUCAGUUUCUAUCUU
Molecule: ribosomal RNA, 630 nt
Filed under: Plexechinus planus
Lineage: Eukaryota; Metazoa; Echinodermata; Echinoidea; Holasteroida; Plexechinidae
Description: partial 16S ribosomal RNA
Rfam family: Bacterial large subunit ribosomal RNA
Source: RNAcentral